This is a long non-coding RNA of Setaria italica (foxtail millet), 3642 nucleotides long. RefSeq lists it as uncharacterized. The transcript is spliced from 7 exons. The record is from RefSeq and is a predicted model, not a curated record. Lineage: Eukaryota; Viridiplantae; Streptophyta; Magnoliopsida; Poales; Poaceae.
UCUUCCGAUUCCCCCGUCGGCCGUUGCGCAGUCGAGUGCGACGGCGGCGACGGACCGCGUGCCGCGCCAUGCCUCGCACGCUCUCCUCACGCGACGACGACGACGCUGCCUCUCCGAUCCCUGACGCCAUGAUGCUCUCGCAAUCCAUCACUCGGACUGGCAGAUGCUUGUGUCGGCCGCUCGAUCGUGACGGGGGCUCCCGUCUGCGAAGGUGUGGUCUCUGGCGGCAAGGGAUGCGGGCGGCCCCGAAUCAUGCGCGCCCGCCAGGUGCUCGACGGGUUGCGCAGGCACCACUUCACGCGCAGCGCAGUUGGAGAACUAAAAGAAAAACUAAAUGAGGGCUCCAGAGAAGAUUUCCUCAUGAAAAGGUGAGUGCAUUUGGGCCCAUUAGUCCUUCAAUUUGAACUUGCAAGUUCGAAAGCUGACUUAUUGGUUUAUUUGAAUUGUUUUAUAAUCUCAUGUUACAUAUUUGGUGUCACAACCAGGUUAGUGCCCUUCGAUUUCAUGCAUUUAUGUUUCACUGUAGCAGCAUAGACUAAUGCUAAUGACUUGACAGCGGUCUGAGAUAUUGCUAGAUUAUGGUAUAUGAACAUAUUUUUAGAAUAGCAGAAUGAUUGAAUAGAUACAUAAUGAGAAAGUAUCACAGCAAGGAGUCCUGGACAAUUCAACACCACACUGUAUGAUGUGGAAUAUUUUUUUUUUCUAAAGGAACACCUGAAACUGAAAUCCUCAGUGCCCAAUUUGUUUCAAUCUUGACUUGAUAUUCAUGGUUUUGAAGUUUGAUGCAUUAAGUAGAAGCAAUGCACUUGGAGAAGAUGAGAGGAUUUAGCCGUUGUCUUGUUAAAAAUAUAAUUGUUAUCCAGUAUUCAGCAGUCAGUACCAUUUUCUCUUGUACCAUAUUUCAUUUUGAAGGGGGCUUUGGGCCCCAAAUGUCCCAUGUACUGCAUAGUACAUACAGACAAUGGGGUCUAUAAUAUUAAUACGUCAAAGAUUAGGCCAUGAAAGAAUCCAAUGCAAAGAGGAUCUUGAGUUUACCUAAAAAGGAGAAUUAAAAAUCUGUAUGCUGGGGCUUAAACUUGAGGAAGCUUUUAAUCAGGAACACACCAAAAAUUCUUGUGAAAAAAGGUAUAACACAUAUUUUUACUAAAUUAUGGGACUCAAUAGAUGACUUCCAAACUCCACCCCGACCCCCACCCCCAAAAAAAACUCAUUAUGCUCCUCUAGUAUUGCCUGUGUCCAAUCUGUACUGCCUUUCGGUGAAGCCGGUCAUUAUCCUGCUUGAUACAGUGCGUGAAAGAAAAAGAUCAGGUAUGUGGUAAUCAUAUUAUCAUGACUAUCAAGUAUUACCUUUCAUUUCCAUUUACUGCCUUUCGGUGAAGAUUACUGUUAUAUUGGUUCGUGUUCUGCUUGUCAUUCUGACUUAUUCCACUUAUCUUUGUCUUAUUUUCAGAUCUUUCCAAGAGAAAUGGAGCUUUUUAUUGCUAGCUGGAAGAGUCAUUGUCCACUGCCAUACUAUCUUAUCCCUUUUUCUUUUUACUGGCUAAACAGAAUCAUGUAUUUGAUCUUCACAGAUAUAGACCAAUCAUGGAAGACCAAUGAAAGACCAAUUUCCAUCCCGAUUACACUAGUAAAGGCAGAUAGUACAGGGUAUUGGAUGACAAAUUGACAGGGACGCAUUGACAGUGAGACAGAUCAUGGAUACAUACUGGUGGCUACAUUUCACCGUCAUCCAUCCCCCUCCACAUGGGCUUGAACGCAGCACCUCAACACACAUUAUCCGAUUCCCAUGGCCAUUCAUUGCUGUUCAUCUCUGGACACAGAAAAGGAUGAGCAAUGCCUUGUGGCAGCUGCACCAGGAGGGACCCCUGGUGAAUCAAGCUUCAGAGACAAGAUCGGACACGCAGCCAUGGCAUGCUGCUGUUCUCUGUACUCCAAGCCGAACCAUGCAUGAAUGGCGCGGGCCACCAUUGCUGGCGCGGAGAUUGGCCGCGUGAGUGAUCGAGGGCAUGUGAUGUGUGCGGAUGCGGCAAGUUGCGCUACGCAACUGCGUGCACCAACGCGUGGUGGGGUUCAGUGUUUGUACGUGAGCCGUCUAAAGGAACAGGCCGGCAAAUGGCACUGUCCGUUUGCCAUGUGAGCUAACUGUUGUCGGGCAAGGAGAAGGCGGCUGCAGGGCGAGGGCGGUUUUCCGGUGAACUGUGGGCCGGUACGCAUGCAUCCAUAUGACCAUAUUGAACUGCUGAUGCUAUGCACAAAAGGUCACAGGAUUUUCAGGGCUGCUGGAAAAGGAUAUGAGAUAAUGAAUGUCGUGGCCGAGGCUCACAUGAUAACGGUGAUCCUUGUCCUUGUCCUCCCACAUCCGCAUGAGAGGCUGCUGCAUUAUCACCCUUAUCUGGUACUGGGAAUUUAUGAGGCUUAUCACUUGCUGAACAAGCUGGCAACUGCACUUCCGUUGGAAAAAAAGAAAAACAAAUGAAAAUCAUGGCCAAUGAGUGAGCACAUGGGGGUUGCUAGCUACAGAUAAGGUCAGGCUAAAUUAUCUAACAUGGUGGGAGAACACAAUCAGAUGGCAGGGCUAUUGAAAUGUAGUAUAGAAUAGAUUAUGAUGGCCCAUAUAUGGCCCAAAAGGGCAGGCAGGUCAUGUGCUAGAUUGCUCGGGCUGCAGAGAUUGCGCUAGGCCUAAACACUAUCUGCCAAGAAAAAAAUCGAAGCCCAGCAAGGCAGCACCCGGGAGUUGAGUUCUGACCCCGGCUCAUUGCAGAAGUUGAGAAAGAAAGUCACCUGCUGCUGAGAUGUGCACUGCAUCUGUGCUUCGUAGCAAAAUGAAGUAGCGCUCACUUCUUGAAGCUGUUGGUUUCACGAGCUUCCAUUACAGUCGAGGGAGGAAAACAACAGGGAAAUUAUCACGAGCUCUGCAGUCUGCAGGUAAACAAAAUUCAGAACCUUUCCAUGAGCAACUCCACAAAGAAAAGGGCUAGCAAUGCCCUUCCACCACGUUCCAAGCCUAAACAAAAAUCACAAAAAGAUGCAGAACCUGCACUGCUGGAGAGUCCAUGAUGGCCUGAGCUCAGUGCUGCACUGCUGCCUGUAUGGAUGGAUGGAUAGUACAGCAGACAUGUUGGCAGACGCGAUGGAGAAAGAGACAUGCAGGCGAGUGCUGUGGAUCCUGGAAAGGGAGCCAAAAGGGGGCGGGCGUGAUCCACAAAUCCCAAUAAAAGCGUAGCAGUUGGAGUGAGGUCAUGCAAAAGUGACCAAUCCUUGUCCUCUUCGAUCAAGAGUACCUGUCGAGCUCAAUGAUGCCGUUCAUCUGUUUGCUCACAGUGGUAAAAAAAAAACAGUCUCAUGAAAGUUCAGUCCAUUUUGAAAGAUUGCAAUGAAGAAUGAACAGUGACGCUGGCAACUUGCACCCCCAGCAUUUUGAUACGAGUUUAGGGGCUAGUGAUCGUGAUGAUUCCCUCCUCCAGCGUAAAAGGUUGCAGAAGAUGCUAGUGAUUUUGGGAUACUUCGACCGGGUUCAGGUAAUGCAAAACUACCCCCGAGUACCCCUGUGUAUGUUGCGCAAACUUCUUGUUUUUCCUUUUGUACCAAAACGACAGGACACGAGGACAGUCCUGGCGAAGGGAAUCUCUCCCCGUUCUCAAA